Nomascus leucogenys (northern white-cheeked gibbon) is the source of this 64-nucleotide non-coding RNA. It matches the Rfam family "U7 small nuclear RNA". From Rfam's summary of the family: Animal histone pre-mRNAs are spliced by a different mechanism than nuclear pre-mRNAs and self-splicing introns. The record is from Rfam. NCBI's taxonomy places the organism in Eukaryota, Metazoa, Chordata, Mammalia, Primates, Hylobatidae.
UAAGGUUAUAGCUCUUUUAGAAUUUGUCUAACAGGUUUUCCUGUCUUCACCAGAACUCGCCAAC